GAUGAACGCUGGCGGCGUGCCUAAUACAUGCAAGUCGAGCGAACGGACGAGAAGCUUGCUUCUCUGAUGUUAGCGGCGGACGGGUGAGUAACACGUGGAUAACCUACCUAUAAGACUGGGAUAACUUCGGGAAACCGGAGCUAAUACCGGAUAAUAUUUUGAACCGCAUGGUUGAAAAGUGAAAGACGGUCUUGCUGUCACUUAUACAUGGAUCCGCGCUGCAUUAGCUAGUGGGUAAGGUAACGGCUUACCAAGGCAACGAUGCAUAGCCGACCUGAGAGGGUGAUCGGCCACACUGGAACUGAGACACGGUCCAGACUCCUACGGGAGGCAGCAGUAGGGAAUCUUCCGCAAAGGGCGAAAGCCUGACGGAGCAACGCCGCGUGAGUGAUGAAGGUCUUCGGAUCGUAAAACUCUGUUAUUAGGGAAGAACAUAUGUGUAAGUAACUGUGCACAGCUUGACGGUACCUAAUCAGAAAGCCCCGGCUAACUACGUG
RNAcentral lists this ribosomal RNA (497 nucleotides) under uncultured bacterium. Its description in RNAcentral is "partial 16S ribosomal RNA". It matches the Rfam family "Bacterial small subunit ribosomal RNA", at positions 28 to 507 of the family's 1533-position model. The record is from RNAcentral.